This 29-nucleotide small RNA is filed under the name Bombyx mori (domestic silkworm). Its description in RNAcentral is "ovarian small RNA-36583". Lineage: Eukaryota; Metazoa; Arthropoda; Insecta; Lepidoptera; Bombycidae. The record is from RNAcentral.
UUACGUCCUCUACUUCCUUCCUGAGCUGU